Molecule: ribosomal RNA, 496 nt
Filed under: uncultured bacterium
Lineage: Bacteria
Description: partial 16S ribosomal RNA
Rfam family: Bacterial small subunit ribosomal RNA
Source: RNAcentral
AUGCACGCUGGCGGCGUGCCUAAUACAUGCAAGUCGAGCGAACGGACGAGAAGCUUGCUUUUCUGAUGUUAGCGGCGGACGGGUGAGUAACACGUGGAUAACCUACCUAUAAGACUGGGAUAACUUCGGGAAACCGGAGCUAAUACCGGAUAAUAUUUUGAACCGCAUGGUUCAAAAGUGAAAGACGGUCUUGCUGUCACUUAUAGAUGGAUCCGCGCUGCAUUAGCUAGUUGGUAAGGUAACGGCUUACCAAGGCAACGAUGCAUAGCCGACCUGAGAGGGUGAUCGGCCACACUGGAACUGAGACACGGUCCAGACUCCUGCGGGAGGCAGCAGUAGGGAAUCUUCCGCAAUGGGCGAAAGCCUGACGGAGCAACGCCGCGUGAGUGAUGAAGGUCUUCGGAUCGUAAAACUCUGUUAUUAGGGAAGAACAUAUGUGUAAGUAACUGUGCACAUCUUGACGGUACCUAAUCAGAAAGCCACGGCUAACUACGUG